UACGAAGGGGGCUAGCGUUGUCCGGAAUCAUUGGGCGUAAAGCGCGCGUAGGCGGCCUCAUAAGUCCGCUGUGAAAGUCAAAGGCUCAACCUUUGAAAGCCGGUGGAUACUGUGAGGCUAGAGUACGGAAGAGGCGAGUGGAAUUCCUGGUGUAGCAGUGAAAUGCGUAGAUAUCAGGAGGAACACCGAUGGCGAAGGCAGGUCUCUGGGCUGACACUGACGCUCAUGCACGAAAGCGUGGGGAGCAAACAGG
RNAcentral lists this ribosomal RNA (253 nucleotides) under uncultured bacterium. Its description in RNAcentral is "partial 16S ribosomal RNA". It matches the Rfam family "Bacterial small subunit ribosomal RNA", at positions 524 to 776 of the family's 1533-position model. The record is from RNAcentral.